Small nuclear RNA from Cricetulus griseus (Chinese hamster), 129 nucleotides. Its record names the gene U1. It matches the Rfam family "U1 spliceosomal RNA". From Rfam's summary of the family: U1 is a small nuclear RNA (snRNA) component of the spliceosome (involved in pre-mRNA splicing). Its 5' end forms complementary base pairs with the 5' splice junction, thus defining the 5' donor site of an intron. There are significant differences in sequence and secondary structure between metazoan and yeast U1 snRNAs, the latter being much longer (568 nucleotides as compared to 164 nucleotides in human). NCBI's taxonomy places the organism in Eukaryota, Metazoa, Chordata, Mammalia, Rodentia, Cricetidae. The record is from Ensembl.
AGAGUUGCUGCCAUGGUCCAAGUCUUAUCCAUUGCACUCCGGAUAUGCUGACCCUUGGGAAAUCCCCAAAUUCUGGAAACUUGACUGCAUAAUUUGGGUAGUGAGGGACUGCAUUCAUACUUUCCCCAA